AGUUGAUUCAGUCAGAAUCACAUCUUUCAUAAAAUUUUCUUCUAAUUAAUUACAUCAGAAACCCAUACAAACAGACAAAAGACCAUAUAAAUUAUUGCAUGUUCAAUAAAGCGUAAAAUGCAAUAUGCGCGAAUGGAAAGACGAAAUAACUAAACAAAAAGCGAAGCUAAAAGGGUCUCCCAAGCAAAACAAACUUGAACAUCA
This 204-nucleotide unclassified non-coding RNA is filed under the name Hevea brasiliensis (rubber tree). The record is from RNAcentral. Lineage: Eukaryota; Viridiplantae; Streptophyta; Magnoliopsida; Malpighiales; Euphorbiaceae.